UGGGGAAUAUUGGACAAUGGGCGCAAGCCUGAUCCAGCCAUGCCGCGUGAGUGAUGAAGGCCCUAGGGUUGUAAAGCUCUUUCACCGGUGAAGAUAAUGACGGUAACCGGAGAAGAAGCCCCGGCUAACUUCGUGCCAGCAGCCGCGGUAAUACGAAGGGGGCUAGCGUUGUUCGGAUUUACUGGGCGUAAAGCGCACGUAGGCGGACUUUUAAGUCAGGGGUGAAAUCCCGGGGCUCAACCCCGGAACUGCCUUUGAUACUGGAAGUCUUGAGUAUGGAAGAGGUGAGUGGAAUUGCGAGUGUAGAGGUGAAAUUCGUAGAUAUUCGCAGGAACACCAGUGGCGAAGGCGGCUCACUGGUCCAUUACUGACGCUGAGGUGCGAAAGCGUGGGGAGCAAACAGG
This 404-nucleotide ribosomal RNA is filed under the name uncultured prokaryote. Its description in RNAcentral is "bacterial SSU rRNA". It matches the Rfam family "Bacterial small subunit ribosomal RNA", at positions 355 to 776 of the family's 1533-position model. The record is from RNAcentral. RNAcentral also lists the same sequence under 1 other name.